AGUGUUUAUAUACACUUUGCCAAUUAAAAAAAAAAGCUGGAAAGUGGUAUCGUUUGGUAGGAUGCUUAAAUAAUCAAAAUAGUUUUUGGGAGUUUUCUGAUUUAUGAUUCCACAUCUAAUUUCUUUACAUUUUUGUCAAAUAACAUCAAACAAAAUAUAUAAUUUCUAACUGUUUUGAAAGCACAUAUGUUUUGAAAGUAUUUUACCAAAAAAAAAAAAAAAAAAAAACUGUUUUGAAAGCACAGAUGUAAAAAGGUAAAUUCAUAGGGAAGCCAAAGCCAUCAUCAUUUUGUAAGUUGUAUUCCAAGGAAAGAUAAAUUGAGCGACCAUUCUUCCCACUUCCACGUUUACAGUGGUUGCAAAUUUUGAAUUGCAUCUUAUUCUUAUCCGUAUUUAAACAUGAAAAUAUCAUAUACUCGAAUCAAUCUUUCUUUUCUAUGGGAAACAAAUAGGUGACUUCAUUUCCUUGGGUACAUCAAAACAAACGGGCCGAAUUAUAAUGGACUCAAAGAAUAUCAAUAACAUAAUUGGGCUUAGAUAUGUAGUAACAUUAAGACCCAAUUGCCCAUCUAUCUUCGCGGACUAUCUCAUGUUUUUGUCCAAAUUGAUAUAUGCCAACACGUAUAGCUAUUUGCUCCUAUUUUGUGUCCAAGUGGUUUAACUAGAUAAUAGAUCUUUUAGAUCUUUUAUGACCUGGC
RNAcentral lists this long non-coding RNA (698 nucleotides) under Brassica rapa (field mustard). RNAcentral's name for it is "long non-coding RNA (BRAP_LNC007961)". Lineage: Eukaryota; Viridiplantae; Streptophyta; Magnoliopsida; Brassicales; Brassicaceae. The record is from RNAcentral.